AGAUGCGUGAUUGGCGUACGCGUGUGUGCGUGAAAAUCCAUAUCGCUGAGAAUCUACGCGAAAAUGAUGUCUUAUUUUCGCCCGUUGACAUCAUGCAAUUCAAAGUCAUAUCUGAUAUACGCAGUGUCCUAAAAUUAUCGAAUGUUCUUUUAACUAUAGCUUUCCUCGAUCGAUAUAAAGAUGAUUUUGUAUUAAUAAAAAUAUUGAAAUUUUUACUUUUAUUACUUUCAAACUUUAAUUGUUGCGUAUCUCUGUAAUUAAAUAUAAAUUAAAAUUUCUAAAAAUAGAUUCCUUUCGAUUAAAUAUUUGAAGAAUUGCACGACAUUAGAUUAGACUUGAAAUUACGAUUCAGUAUUGCAGUUUGACGAUAACAGAUUAAGAAGAUUUCUCAAGACGCAACACAACAGAAAACGAUAUAGCGCGCGCUAAGUUCUCGGAUCUUAUUGGAUACUAAGAAAUCAAUAAAACUUUAUUGCAAUUUGUCAUCAUUUUGUAAUCGAGUAUAGUGCAUGUUUGUGCUUGUGCAUUAAAAUGGCGAACGUACAAGUCCUUUAUGGCGUGUGUUUAAAUGACUCGAUGGCGAUGCUUCACGUCCGCAACGCGUGCAAAGAUGAAGAAGGUUUUACAGCGCAAUUACUGAAAUUUACAACGAGACAGAACUGUCUCGAUUUUAACGUCGACGGGAUUAACAUCGCGCUACGACCGCGUUGUGCAAACACAAGUUUCGUGCUCAUUGUUUUCGUCGCAAAUAUACGCCCGUUUGUCGUAAAAUAUCCGAAAAAUAGACUCGAAGCUAAAGGACAAUGACGAAGAUACUUAGACUCAGACUUUUCAAUAAAAAAUGUUUUAAAACCAAUGGAAUUUUACCGAAUCGUCUAGUUUUCCGAAAAGAAAAGACGAGACACGCAUAUGGUACGGUUAUGGUGAUGUUUGCAUUUCUGCAAUGUAACACGACGGGAUCGAAACUUUUUAUUUCAAUAUUUACAUUGCGGCCGUUCGGCCAUGAAUGGAACGUUACGAGACCUUGAAAAAAAUGAUUUAUAUCGGGAUGGCAUUCGGAACUAAAACCCGUGCUGCUCUUUUUACCCGAGUAAGACCAUCUUUGACGGUGAGAUUUUUACAAGAGUUCUCAUCUAAUAAAAUCUUAUUGACAUAUGAUACACGCUUUAUAUGUAUAUUUUGUAUUCAUUCUUCAUUCUUAUUGUAAGUAAAUCAAAUUUAAUUACAAGAUUUUAGGGGGAUAUUAAAUUCAUAGAUGAAAAUAUGUGCGAUAUUUCUUAAAUUAAUCUUAUGUGAAUUUUUUGAUAGAGUUUUAAUUUCGUACUUAUUAUACUGAUUCCUUAUUCGGAUCAAAUUAGGAAAAUGUUAAACAAAUCAUGCAAUUACAGGGAGAAUUCUAUCAAAUGUAUAUUCUACGCAUAAAUACUCCACAUUUAUCAAAGAAUUACAAGAGAUUACUUUCAAAAUUUCCCUUUUCAGUUGCCACAUUUAUUUGUGAAUCAUCAAUCAAAGAUUUUCAAACUGUUUGAACGAACAAAUAAGAAUUCCGAUCGCCGCUAUUCCCUGCUUAUUUCUGUGUGAUACAUUAAUUUAAUAUUUUUGAAAAAUAAGCUUUGUUACUUCCGAAUAGAUCGACGCGAUAAUCGAAGGGUGAUGUCGCCGCCGCCGACGCGCGACGGCGCAGCGCGAAAGUCAGUCGCGAUGCGAGGACCAAUAAUUAACGUACACGACAAACAGUAUUAUCGUCAUUGCCUGAUAUUAUUCCCAUUAUCUUAUAUGUACGGCGGCUAUGUGCUUAAUGAUUAAUAAAAUAUUAUCUGCGCUCAGGGGAUAUCUUUCUUCCUGGCGGCAAAUAGUUUCGUGCCAGACGCCGCGAGAAGCACCGAUGCCGAUGUUGCGCGGUCUGUGAUCUAUCAGGUGAAAAUAAGACCGAAGUCAGACUUGAUGAAUCGUAUUCGAAAAUAGAGCGCGUCGUGAACGUGAUCGAGAAAAAAAGACAUGUUCAAAAUAAAAAGUCAUUCCAUUUCUAUGGGAGAUGUGUCAAGACAGUUUAUAGUGACCGUGGCUUUCGAGACAUGAUGGAUAUGUGUCAUGAUCGAUAUAAAACUGAAAUGAAAUUGUCGUAAGUAUUCGCAAUCCAAAACUUAACGGAAAUAGAAUGGAUGCGCACCGACGAUGAAUAUAUUCUGAGUAUAAGAUAAUUGCGAAUGGUUAUAAAAAUCGGGAUUGGAAAAAAUUUGUACGAUACUUGAAGCAGUACGUAUAGGUGCGUCAGAAAUAAAAUAUGAAAAAUAGAAAUAUGAUGAAGAAAUAAAAUCAUAUGAACAUGGGCAUCCUUAUCUAGAAAGAAAGUCCGUUCACAGAGCGUAAUCUCCCGUCGCAUGUUCCGUCGCAUACCGUCGGAAUAACUUGAAUUAUCGAUUUAAUAUUUACAUUAUCGACAACGAUCUUGCAAUCGAGCAAUCUAGUCACUGUUUGGAAUAUGUGUCUCGCUCUUAAGCCAGACACGGGUAAAUUAAUUAAAUAUUAAAAUAAUUAAUAUGCCAUUAAGUGAGAGUGCUCAAAGGUCUGCUCAAAUAUUUUUGAUUGCGUAUGUUGGAUAUGUUACGUAUAAUUUAAUGAAUUCAUAUGAUUUCAACGAUUCGUGACGGUAAUACUGUUCGCACAAGUUUUGGGAGGAGAGGAUGCACGUGCGACAUGUCUUUGAACAGAAUUAUUCCCAUAACGACGAACCAAGAUCUUGAAAAAGAGAAAUAAAGAGAAAAAGAAGAGGAAAAAUCUAUAAAAGAAAGAGAGAGAGAGAGAGAAGGAAAGAUGGAUUAAUCGAAUCGGCGAGACCUGUGUCUAGAUUUUGACGUCGAGAUCGCAUCGACGAGGAGGAGGAAGCGGAUCGCGUACAAAACACAAGUGUCGGAGCGGGCCGAACAUAAAACACAAGUGUUCCUUUCGUAUACAGCGUUGCUCGCAUUACCACGGAUGUUCGCUUUCGUUCGGCUCCUUCUCGCAUGCGGUUUUUUCUCUCUCUUUCAACAGCGAUCAGGACCUCAUAUUUAUGAUGAUUCAUAAAAUCUCACGUGGAUUGCCUCAACAUAUAUUUAUUUUCGUGGAGCUCCUUGACGAAGGGAUCGGUACUUUACCGUGUACAGGCGCAUACCUAUCAUUCUUUAUCAUUUUGUCGGAGGAAGGGGAACGAAGCUUGAAGACGGAGGGUUGCAGUCAUGGUUACAGAGCACACACUAGGGUACCGCUGAUAAGAGGAUCAGCUUUUGUGGAUCUCAUGAUAUCUACGCCAUUGCAAGCAAAAGUGGAUAUAUGUGGCUACAAAGAUUAACGCAGACAUUGCAUUAUCACCGAAAAUACACAAGGAUGAUUCUUUCGGUCGUUCACUGACUCUUCGCCUCUCAUCAACUGGUUGUUUUUGUGAACGUUACAGAGGGCCCAUGUUAAACGUGCACUGGUAUGUGUAAUUUAAGUAAUCCACUUCGAUAAUUCUAAAAGUCCGUUAACUUUUAAAUAACACAAGAAAUACAUUUCUGUAGAAAAAACAUAGCUCACAUGCUUUAUAUUAUGCCAUUGCAUAUAGGCAAUAAUAAUGCACAUUGGAUCUAUCUUUUGCAAUUUAUUAUAGAAUACAUACCUACGUAAAAUAUCGUACUCUUUCUUGCUAGUAAUAAAAACUACAUUAUAAAUUUGUAAUUGUGUAACUUUACUAAUAAUCUAACAAUAAAUUUGGAAAAAAUG
RNA transcript from Temnothorax curvispinosus, 3741 nucleotides. RefSeq lists it as uncharacterized. NCBI's taxonomy places the organism in Eukaryota, Metazoa, Arthropoda, Insecta, Hymenoptera, Formicidae. The transcript has 4 exons. The record is from RefSeq and is a predicted model, not a curated record.